AUCGAACGCUGGCGGCAGGCCUAACGCAUGCAAGUCGAGCGGUAGCACAGAGAGCUUGCUCUCGGGUGACGAGCGGCGGACGGGUGAGCAAUGUCUGGGAAACUGCCUGAUGGAGGGGGAUAACUACUGGAAACGGUAGCUAAUACCGCAUAACGUCGCAAGACCAAAGAGGGGGACCUUCGGGCCUCUUGCCAUCAGAUGUGCCCAGAUGGGAUUAGCUAGUAGGUGGGGUAACGGCUCACCUAGGCGACGAUCCCUAGCUGGUCUGAGAGGAUGACCAGCCACACUGGAACUGAGACACGGUCCAGACUCCUACGGGAGGCAGCAGUGGGGAAUAUUGCACAAUGGGCGCAAGCCUGAUGCAGCCAUGCCGCGUGUAUGAAGAAGGCCUUCGGGUUGUAAAGUACUUUCAGCGGGGAGGAAGGCGAUAAGGUUAAUAACCUUGUCGAUUGACGUUACCCGCAGAAGAAGCACCGGCUAACUCCGUGCCAGCCGCCGCCGUAA
Molecule: ribosomal RNA, 504 nt
Filed under: uncultured bacterium
Lineage: Bacteria
Description: partial 16S ribosomal RNA
Rfam family: Bacterial small subunit ribosomal RNA
Source: RNAcentral